Long non-coding RNA from Ostrea edulis (European flat oyster), 281 nucleotides. RefSeq lists it as uncharacterized. NCBI's taxonomy places the organism in Eukaryota, Metazoa, Mollusca, Bivalvia, Ostreida, Ostreidae. The transcript is spliced from 2 exons. The record is from RefSeq and is a predicted model, not a curated record.
UUAAAAAAAAUGUAUAUAUUUACUUACUUCCUGAAAAGAAUACUCUUCCAGUGUAUGCUAUAUCUUCAAUUUCUUCUGUACCAUCCUCUCGAAGAUUUGAUGUAGGAAAGAAAACUGUCACAUUAUCUUCAUCCAAGAAGUUCAAAGUGCCAGGUUGAAGUGCGUCUAAUGUGUUAAGCUAGAAUCUCCCGCCAGUGCGCUCUCCUAUGUUGAAGGCGCUGAUUUCCGGUAGGUAUAAAGUUGUUACGGCGCAAGAACGCGAUGGAGACCCCACCGAAAAA